GACGAACGCUGGCGGCGUGCUUAACACAUGCAAGUCGAACGGAAAGGCUCUGCUUUUGUGGGGUGCUCGAGUGGCGAACGGGUGAGUAACACGUGAGUAACCUGCCCUUGACUUUGGGAUAACUUCAGGAAACUGGGGCUAAUAUCGGAUAGGAGCUCCUGCUGCAUGGUGGGGGUUGGAAAGUUUCGGCGGUUGGGGAUUGACUCGCGGCUUAUCAGCUUGUUGGUGGGGUAGUGGCUUACCAAGGUUUUGACGGGUAGCCGGCCUGAGAAGGUGACCUGCCACAUUGGGACUGAGGUACGUCCCAGACUCCUACGGGAGGCAGCAGUAGGGAAUAUUGCACAAUGGGCUGAAGCCUGAUGCAGCAACGCCGCGUGCGGGAUGACGGCCUUCGGGUUGUAAACCGCUUUCGCCUGUAACGAAGCGUGAGUGACGGUAAUGGGUAAAGAGGCACCGGCUAACUACGUG
Molecule: ribosomal RNA, 468 nt
Filed under: uncultured bacterium
Lineage: Bacteria
Description: partial 16S ribosomal RNA
Rfam family: Bacterial small subunit ribosomal RNA
Source: RNAcentral